Molecule: small nuclear RNA, 123 nt
Filed under: Euplotes focardii
Lineage: Eukaryota; Ciliophora; Spirotrichea; Euplotida; Euplotidae
Description: partial Dictyostelium signal recognition particle
Source: RNAcentral
AAGUUGAGUGACCUUUAUGUCGGUACCUCUAUCUCAAAGAGAUGAAAGCAGGAGGAAAAUGUCCCAUCCAAGUUCAAAGCUGGGAAAGACCUAACAAAGCUAGACGGGGUUGAGUUGAAAGAA